GGAGAGAUGUCCGAGCGGUCGAAGGAGGCGGUCUUGAAAACCGUUGAGGCGCGAGUCUCCGGGGGUUCGAAUCCCUCUCUCUCCGCUA
RNAcentral lists this transfer RNA (88 nucleotides) under Spirochaetes bacterium GWC2_52_13. RNAcentral describes it as "tRNA-Ser". It matches the Rfam family "tRNA". From Rfam's summary of the family: Transfer RNA (tRNA) molecules are approximately 80 nucleotides in length. Their secondary structure includes four short double-helical elements and three loops (D, anti-codon, and T loops). Lineage: Bacteria; Pseudomonadati; Spirochaetota. RNAcentral also lists the same sequence under 4 other names. The record is from RNAcentral.